CCUACGGGGGGCUGCAGUGGGGAAUAUUGCACAAUGGGCGCAAGCCUGAUGCAGCCAUGCCGCGUGUGUGAAGAAGGCUUUCGGGUUGUAAAGCACUUUCAGCGGGGAGGAAGGCGGUGAGGUUAAUAACCUCAUCGAUUGACGUUACCCGCAGAAGAAGCACCGGCUAACUCCGUGCCAGCAGCCGCGGUAAUACGGAGGGUGCAAGCGUUAAUCGGAAUUACUGGGCGUAAAGCGCACGCAGGCGGUCUGUCAAGUCGGAUGUGAAAUCCCCGGGCUCAACCUGGGAACUGCAUUCGAAACUGGCAGGCUAGAGUCUUGUAGAGGGGGGUAGAAUUCCAGGUGUAGCGGUGAAAUGCGUAGAGAUCUGGAGGAAUACCGGUGGCGAAGGCGGCCCCCUGGACAAAGACUGACGCUCAGGUGCGAAAGCGUGGGGAGCAAACAGGAUUAGAUACCCGGGUAGUC
This 465-nucleotide ribosomal RNA is filed under the name uncultured Klebsiella sp. RNAcentral describes it as "bacterial SSU rRNA". It matches the Rfam family "Bacterial small subunit ribosomal RNA", at positions 338 to 795 of the family's 1533-position model. The record is from RNAcentral. Lineage: Bacteria; Pseudomonadati; Pseudomonadota; Gammaproteobacteria; Enterobacterales; Enterobacteriaceae.